RNAcentral lists this ribosomal RNA (254 nucleotides) under uncultured bacterium. Its description in RNAcentral is "partial 16S ribosomal RNA". It matches the Rfam family "Bacterial small subunit ribosomal RNA", at positions 524 to 776 of the family's 1533-position model. The record is from RNAcentral.
UACGGGGGGGGCAAGCGUUGUUCGGAAUUACUGGGCGUAAAGGGUGCGUAGGCGGCCAACUAAGUCAGACGUGAAAUCCCUCGGCUUAACCGGGGAACUGCGUCUGAUACUGGAUGGCUUGAGUUUGGGAGAGGGAUGCGGAAUUCCAGGUGUAGCGGUGAAAUGCGUAGAUAUCUGGAGGAACACCGGUGGCGAAGGCGGCAUCCUGGACCAACACUGACGCUGAGUGAGCGAAAGCCAGGGGAGCAAACGGG